GACAGAGGGUGCAAACGUUGUUCGGAAUUACUGGGCGUAAAGCGCGUGUAGGCGGCUUGGCAAGUCGGGUGUGAAAGCCCUGGGCUCAACUCAGGAAGUGCACUCGAAACUGCUUCGCUCGAGUAUCGGAGAGGAAAGCGGAAUUCUCGGUGUAGAGGUGAAAUUCGUAGAUAUCGAGAGGAACACCGGUGGUGAAGGCGGCUUUCUGGACGAUUACUGACGCUGAGACGCGAAAGCGUGGGGAGCAAACAGG
This 253-nucleotide ribosomal RNA is filed under the name uncultured bacterium. Its description in RNAcentral is "partial 16S ribosomal RNA". It matches the Rfam family "Bacterial small subunit ribosomal RNA", at positions 524 to 776 of the family's 1533-position model. The record is from RNAcentral.